UAAGGCUUUGUUUGCUUAUGAUGACAAC
RNAcentral lists this small RNA (28 nucleotides) under Bombyx mori (domestic silkworm). RNAcentral describes it as "ovarian small RNA-19311". The record is from RNAcentral. Lineage: Eukaryota; Metazoa; Arthropoda; Insecta; Lepidoptera; Bombycidae.